AACUCUUCUCCAGGCUGGAGUGGGAAGUCCUUCUUGGAUAAGAAAUCCCGACCCAUACAACAGUGGGCCACAGACAGGAGGCCUCUGAACCCUGAGUCGUCAUAUUAAUAAACCCCUCUACUGUGAGGCCGCCAUGCUGGAGAUAAUACAUCUGAAAUUGGGGGGAAUUACUACUUGGAGAAGAUGGAAUAAAACUGGCUGACCAAAAUUUGCUUCACUGAUACACACAAGUGGUGUUACCUCAAAAAGUACAGGAUUCACUGUCACAUGCAGACCAGCUUUCCAGUCUUUCUCGAGAGAGACUACCAAGAUUUUCAAGGACAUAAAACAAAAUUGAUGGAAG
This is a long non-coding RNA of Choloepus didactylus (southern two-toed sloth), 343 nucleotides long. RefSeq lists it as uncharacterized. Lineage: Eukaryota; Metazoa; Chordata; Mammalia; Pilosa; Megalonychidae. The record is from RefSeq and is a predicted model, not a curated record. The transcript has 5 exons.